CCUACGGGUGGCAGCAGUGAGGAAUAUUGGUCAAUGGACGAGAGUCUGAACCAGCCAAGUAGCGUGAAGGAUGACUGCCCUAUGGGUUGUAAACUUCUUUUAUAUGGGAAUAAAACGUUCCACGUGUGGGAUUUUGUAUGUACUAUAUGAAUAAGGAUCGGCUAACUCCGUGCCAGCAGCCGCGGUAAUACGGAGGAUCCGAGCGUUAUCCGGAUUUAUUGGGUUUAAAGGGAGCGUAGGUGGAUUGUUAAGUCAGUUGUGAAAGUUUGCGGCUCAACCGUAAAAUUGCAGUUGAGACUGGCAGUCUUGAGUACAGUAGAGGUGGGCGGAAUUCGUGGUGUAGCGGUGAAAUGCUUAGAUAUCACGAAGAACUCCGAUUGCGAAGGCAGUUCACUGGACUGCAACUGACACUGAGGCUCGAAAGUGUGGGUAUCAAACAGGAUUAGAUACCCGAGUAG
RNAcentral lists this ribosomal RNA (458 nucleotides) under uncultured bacterium. RNAcentral's name for it is "partial 16S ribosomal RNA". It matches the Rfam family "Bacterial small subunit ribosomal RNA", at positions 338 to 793 of the family's 1533-position model. The record is from RNAcentral.